RNAcentral lists this ribosomal RNA (378 nucleotides) under Gemella sanguinis. Its description in RNAcentral is "bacterial SSU rRNA". It matches the Rfam family "Bacterial small subunit ribosomal RNA", at positions 28 to 391 of the family's 1533-position model. The record is from RNAcentral. Lineage: Bacteria; Bacillati; Bacillota; Bacilli; Caryophanales; Gemellaceae.
GACGAACGCUGGCGGCGUGCCUAAUACAUGCAAGUCGAGCGAAGUUUUUCUGGUGCUCUGCACUAGAAAAACUUAGCGGCGAACGGGUGAGUAACACGUAAAGAACCUGCCUCAUAGACGGGGACAACUAUUGGAAACGAUAGCUAAUACCGGAUAACAACAUAAAUCGCAUGAUAUAUGUUUAAAAGUUGGUUUCGGCUAACACUAUGAGAUGGCUUUGCGGUGCAUUAGCUAGUUGGUGGGGUAAAGGCCUACCAAGGCGACGAUGCAUAGCCGACCUGAGAGGGUGAUCGGCCACACUGGGACUGAGACACGGCCCAGACUCCUACGGGAGGCAGCAGUAGGGAAUCUUCCGCAAUGGGCGAAAGCCUGACGGAG